Molecule: ribosomal RNA, 228 nt
Filed under: Triticum aestivum (bread wheat)
Lineage: Eukaryota; Viridiplantae; Streptophyta; Magnoliopsida; Poales; Poaceae
Description: partial small subunit ribosomal RNA
Source: RNAcentral
AUGGGGACGGUGAUAUCGAGGCUGAGGGUGAGGGCAAGUGCUAGGAUGAAGGCGAGGACGAGCUCUCCUGAGUACGAGGAGGAGGGGUUCGAUGAUGAUGAGGAGGUGGAGGAUGUGGAGCCAGAGCUAGACCCUGCAGAGUACGAGGAUGACGAGGCUUACGCUCGAGUGCUUCAGGACGCCGAGGAGCGUGAGGGCGGGCGGUGGAGCAUGUCGAGGAUCACAUAA